This 163-nucleotide non-coding RNA is filed under the name unclassified sequences. The record is from Rfam.
UCUGCCAACUAAUGGCAAUAAAUUAUGCUGAACCCAAACUGCAUAAGUGGCAGAGUGCUUUAAGAAGCAUUGGUGUCGUACAAUGCGUCGAAAGACUGCAAAGUGCAUACGGUAUAAAAAUUGGGGUAAAUGACUGUUAGUGACGGCACACUAACAGUCUUUU